UUUUUAGAAUAAGUAUGUCUCGUGCAAUAUUUGAAACAUAGUUAUUCUAAAA
This 52-nucleotide microRNA precursor is filed under the name Callithrix jacchus (white-tufted-ear marmoset). RNAcentral describes it as "mir-1302 microRNA precursor family". It matches the Rfam family "mir-1302 microRNA precursor family". Lineage: Eukaryota; Metazoa; Chordata; Mammalia; Primates; Cebidae. The record is from Rfam by way of RNAcentral.